UAACUAUGUCUUAAGCUUCGUUUAAGCUUCGUUUGUGAUUGCGGGGAGAUUGCGUUACGUGCGGUGAGAAAUUACGUUGGAAAAAUAUCUUGUUUGUUUCCGUACGUAAUAUUGUGUUCUGCAUAUCGCGAUAAGUCGGUUACAAUAUAUUUUCUGCAAUCUCACCGGAGAACGCAGAAGCAUAUCCCUAUAUGCUUUUUCCUCAACUCCAUUUUAUCUAAUAGCGUUAGAUAGACCUCAAUACCAAAGCCUUAGUUAUAUCAUGUUUCGCAC
This 273-nucleotide long non-coding RNA is filed under the name Ananas comosus (pineapple). Its description in RNAcentral is "long non-coding RNA (ACOM_LNC019446)". Lineage: Eukaryota; Viridiplantae; Streptophyta; Magnoliopsida; Poales; Bromeliaceae. The record is from RNAcentral.